RNAcentral lists this long non-coding RNA (339 nucleotides) under Lathyrus oleraceus (garden pea). RNAcentral's name for it is "Pisum sativum (pea) long non-coding RNA (PSAT_LNC010644)". Lineage: Eukaryota; Viridiplantae; Streptophyta; Magnoliopsida; Fabales; Fabaceae. The record is from RNAcentral.
AAAAAAGAGAGAAAAGGAUGAAAUAUGGAGUUUUUAUGCAGGAGGAAGGAGAGGUUAGAGAGGAGUUGAAAAUGGUGAAAGAUAGAUGAAAGAAGUUGAAACAAACAGGAAUAUGGAAGAAGGAAAUUGAAAAGUUGUUGUCAUGUUGAGACAAAUUAAGGUUGAAAAUUUUGCGUAUUGUUUAUUGUCUGUAUCUUUGUUGGGUUGGUUUGUUUGAUGCCUGUUAUUUCACGGUUGGCAAAUGUCAUGUUUAAAUGUAACAAACUUUAUAGAUUAAAUUAAUUAAUAAUUAAAGUAUAGUUAUAUAAUUCUUUACAAUAUCACAUGGUUAUAUUUUUU